RNAcentral lists this ribosomal RNA (403 nucleotides) under uncultured bacterium. RNAcentral's name for it is "partial 16S ribosomal RNA". It matches the Rfam family "Bacterial small subunit ribosomal RNA", at positions 30 to 526 of the family's 1533-position model. The record is from RNAcentral.
AUUGAACGCUGGCGGCAGGCCUAACACAUGCAAGUCGAGCGAGCGGCGGACGGGAGAGUAAUGUAUGGGGACUGCCCGAUAGAGGGGGAUAAAUAGUGGAAACGGUGGCUAAUAACGCAUACUAUCGGAUAACCCAUAUGGGAUUAGCUAGUAGGGGGGGUAAAGGCUCACCUAGGCGACGAGCUCUAGCUGGUCUGAGAGGAUGAUCAGCCACACUGCGCCUGAGCCACGGCCCAGACUCCUACGGAGGCAGCAGUGGGGAAUAUUGCACAGUGGCCGCAAGCCUGAUGCAGCCAUGCCGCGUGUAUGAAGAAGGCCUUAGGGUUGUAAAGUACUUUCAGCGGGGAGGCGUUACCAGCAGAAGAAACACCGGCUAACUCCGCGCCAGCCGCCGCGGUAAUUC